UAACGAAAGUGAGCUCUAUUUUCUAAAU
RNAcentral lists this small RNA (28 nucleotides) under Bombyx mori (domestic silkworm). RNAcentral's name for it is "ovarian small RNA-18785". Lineage: Eukaryota; Metazoa; Arthropoda; Insecta; Lepidoptera; Bombycidae. The record is from RNAcentral.